RNAcentral lists this ribosomal RNA (253 nucleotides) under uncultured bacterium. Its description in RNAcentral is "partial 16S ribosomal RNA". It matches the Rfam family "Bacterial small subunit ribosomal RNA", at positions 524 to 776 of the family's 1533-position model. The record is from RNAcentral.
UACGUAGGAUGCAAGCGUUGUCCGGAAUUAUUGGGCGUAAAGCGCGUGUAGGCGGUCCGGUAAGUCCGCUGUGAAAGUCGGGGGCUCAACCCUCGGAUGCCGGUGGAUACUGUCGGGCUUGAGUACGGAAGAGGCGAGUGGAAUUCCUGGUGUAGCGGUGAAAUGCGCAGAUAUCAGGAGGAACACCGAUGGCGAAGGCAGGUCUCUGGGCCACUACUGACGCUGAGAAGCGAAAGCAUGGGGAGCGAACAGG